Molecule: ribosomal RNA, 301 nt
Filed under: uncultured bacterium
Lineage: Bacteria
Description: partial 16S ribosomal RNA
Rfam family: Bacterial small subunit ribosomal RNA
Source: RNAcentral
CAGUCGCCACGGAAUACGUAGGGUCCGAGCGUUGUCCGGAAUUACUGGGCGUAAAGAGCUCGUAGGUGGUUUGUCGCGUUGUUCGUGAAAACUCACAGCUCAACUGUGGGCGUGCGGGCGAUACGGGCAGACUAGAGUACUGCAGGGGAGACUGGAAUUCCUGGUGUAGCGGUGGAAUGCGCAGAUGUCAGGAGGAACACCGGUGGCGAAGGCGAGUCUCUGGGCAGUAACUGACGCUGAGGAGCGAAAGCGUGGGGAGCGAACAGGAUUAGAUACCCCGGUAGUCCCUGUCUCUUAUGCA